Molecule: non-coding RNA, 73 nt
Organism: Aedes aegypti (yellow fever mosquito)
Lineage: Eukaryota; Metazoa; Arthropoda; Insecta; Diptera; Culicidae
Source: Rfam
GGCUCGGUAGCUUAGUUGGUAAAAGCGCUCGUCUAGCAUACAAGAGUCCUGGGUUCAAAUCCCAGCCGAGCAC